ACGCACCAAGCGUACGCAUCGGUUGCCCUGCCCUGCCCGCACCCACCUGGCAACGGCUCACUCCGUUUUGUUAGCC
RNAcentral lists this small RNA (76 nucleotides) under Xanthomonas hortorum. RNAcentral describes it as "sX9 sRNA". It matches the Rfam family "Xanthomonas sRNA sX9". Lineage: Bacteria; Pseudomonadati; Pseudomonadota; Gammaproteobacteria; Lysobacterales; Lysobacteraceae. The record is from RNAcentral. RNAcentral also lists the same sequence under 1 other name.